CACAAGUUGAGCGCCGGGGAACGCGGGGCGAGGGGAAGGACGGGACGGCUCCGUAUCAGCAAAGAGCCGCCUCCCGCUGUCGCUACCUGCUGAUGAAGCCAUCCCCAUCGCCGUCGCAGGUCUGGAAGAGGCGCCUCAUCCUCUCCUCCUCGCCCGUGCUGGAGGUAUCGGUGCUGCUGCUGCCGGUGCUGGUCACCUCCGCCACAGCGGCUGCCGCCAUCAUGCGCCCCGCUGCGGAGGAGGAGGAGGAGAUUUCCAAAUUGCGUUGCUCACAUUAGUUCUUGCUGGAUGACCAGAGCACUGUAGUAUGGAGCUGUCCUAGGGUGAUGUUAUGAUGCUUGUAUCCCCAGCUGUCUGUUCUGUUUCUGCUGGAUAUUACAUUCUGUGCCUUCAAGACUGACUCUGAAAGCAAAGUGAGAGAAGAAACACAGAGUUUUGUUAUCAGCCUCACUCACUCCUUCACAGUCUGCUGGAACACAGAACUCCACUGUUGUUGUCUGGGCAUGGACGGGGCAGAACACCGUACUCCUUUUGCUAGUUAGUUAGUUAGUUAGUUAGUUAGUUAGUUAGUUAGUUAGUUAGUUAGUUAGUUAGUUAGUUAGUUAGUUAGUUAGUUAGUUAGUUAGUUAGUUAGUUAGUUAGUUAGUUAGUUAGUUUAGCUGCUGAGGCAGUCCGAGUUUUCCCUGGACUGUUUUUCUUUCCCUUUUGGAACCGUUCGACCCUGCUCCAGACUGGGACCCUGGGAAACACCGAGGAAACAUCGUACAAUGCAGCCUGCCGGGGCUACUCUGCAGCUUUUCCCAGCGCCGGAGGGACCGAUAACAGAGCGACCACCACCAGGGAGACUUUCUGAAUUUGUCAUCUCUUCAGAGCAGCGAAUCAGUUUUGUCAUCCGAGUCCUGUAACUGUUUCCUGACGAGGCCACCAGUAUCAAUGGAGCAAGACUGGACCCAAAAUACAGCAAUGAGAACUCCAUCCUGAUGUUAUCUGCCUAGCCUCCUAGUUUGCCAAUUUUCACCAUUUUUAAACUAAUCUCCCACUUCUCGUCUAAUCUAGACAACAGUUUAUCUUGCUUCACACAAUAGCUUUCUUUGUGGAUCAGAAAUUCACCCUUUUUUUUUCUUCUCCCUGCUCAUUGUGAACAAUUUUUGAGUUGGUUGAAUUAAAUUUUUCCUCCCAUCUUCUCCUUAUGGGGAUCAGCUGUAGUUAACUUCUUUUGCAUUUGAACCAGUCCCAAUAAAACUUGGUGCAGUGAUUUCUGACUUUUCCUGAUAACAAAUCAGCCAUAUCAGUUCCUCCUUCCUGAUAGGAACAGCUGAUAUCCUAGCUGUGGUAUGGCAUGCAAGACUGUAAAACCAGCUGUGCUUUCUGGUUUAUAUUGUGAUGCCCAACUAAUUUUUUAAAGAGAUGCAUCACAUCAGGUGGGAAGCAAUACCCUAAGCUGCAGUUAGUCACAUUCCUGUGCCUGCUGUGAAUUACGUGGCAGUUCAUUCCUACAGCCAAUUUCAGAUGGCAAACCCUCCCACACUUAAAACACAAACUAUGCUGUGCAGCAGAAAGUACAAUUCUGCCUGAAGUGUUCCUCGUGUGAGGGGUAUGUGGUGCCUAGAAUUUGUGAAGAGACAACAAGGAAGGAGGGCAAGGAGUGAGAGUUCUUUACUGCUGUGAGUAGCAAAAUAGGCUUGAUAUUUCUCAAAAUAAAUAUUUUAAAAGUU
Long non-coding RNA from Melospiza melodia melodia, 1715 nucleotides. RefSeq lists it as uncharacterized. The transcript has 3 exons. The record is from RefSeq and is a predicted model, not a curated record. NCBI's taxonomy places the organism in Eukaryota, Metazoa, Chordata, Aves, Passeriformes, Passerellidae.